RNAcentral lists this unclassified non-coding RNA (780 nucleotides) under Hevea brasiliensis (rubber tree). The record is from RNAcentral. Lineage: Eukaryota; Viridiplantae; Streptophyta; Magnoliopsida; Malpighiales; Euphorbiaceae.
UCUUGCUUUUUACCAACCUGAAAGACAAUAGAAUAAUCAAAUAUGCAAGUUUAGAAAUAUAAAAAAUGCCAAGACAAAAAUGGGAACAAGGAAAAAAGGCAAAUACAUAAACCUCAUAAUCCUUCCCAUCGAUGAAACCAAAAGAAAAUUUUAUAGAUGCUAUUAACGCCAAUCUUACACUGCACAGAUGUAAUUGACUGAUAUGAACUCUAGUCUAACAGUUAUAAUGCAACUUUUAGAGAACCUCAAUGUUCAAGCCUGUAAUGGAAUAUUAGUGAUCAAACUGUUUGGGGGAAAAAGUAGCACUUUGAAAAUAAAUUAGAAAUAUAAACCCUCUUCUUGUAUCAGUUCGUUCAUAAUAACAGGAACAACUACUCAGUGGUUAUUUCCAGUGAAUGAAAGAGUCAUAUUCCCUAGUAUCCUGCUUAACCUCAAGAAAAAGUGGCAACAAGAACAAUUUUUUACAGGUUCAAAGAAGAGGGAGGGAGAAGCCGAACGUUUGCCUGCACUAUACACUUUGACCGCUAGACUACUGGAUCUGCGGUUAAUUGUAGCUUCACUCUGGUGGCGCAUCAAGCAAAUUAUAUCCAUGCCAAACCUACUUAUCUAUUUUUUGUGGCAUAUAUCCUUGGAGGCUUUCCAAAUAUUUCUCACACUAGAAAGUCUUCACAAGUGAAUCCAGUUUCCGACAUUCCAUUUUAACUCAUACCAGAAUACCAGGAACACAUUUUGACCUGACUUCUAUUUGCAUAGCCUUCCUUAAAGUGUUUUUUCAAGUUG